Molecule: long non-coding RNA, 1168 nt
Filed under: Carica papaya (papaya)
Lineage: Eukaryota; Viridiplantae; Streptophyta; Magnoliopsida; Brassicales; Caricaceae
Description: long non-coding RNA (CPAP_LNC013698)
Source: RNAcentral
AGAUUUGCCAGAGUGAAGUUAGUUAUUGAAAGUAGAAAUAUAUAUAUGUAUAUAAAUAAAAAAUUAUAAUAGAUGUUUUAGAGAAAAACAACAGAAAUAAAAACAUGCUCCCGCAUGUGACGUAACAAGAAUCUGUCUCGAUACAACAAUAUUAUCUAAUAUAAAAGCAUUUCUGGCCGUCAGCCAGGAAUGAUAGAAACACGAUCUAAUAACUUCUGCAGAUAAGCCCAUAUGAAAUUCUAUAAUUGUAGAUUCUUUAGGAUAAACUCAAAAGCAAAUUCACUUUAUUUCACAAAAAAUCCUCAGUUGAAAAUACAACAUGACAAAAACUAAAGAAAUAAUAGAAUGCUAAACCCUAUUUAACAGGCUCAAACAAAUCAAUCACAUGUUGAUGCAUUUUUGAAACAACAGUUUUUUUUUUUUUUUUUUUUUUUAGUUAUCAACUUUUCAAUUCUGCAGCAUAAAGAAAACACGGGAGUCAAAUUUUCCUUUCAGAUCUUCACGACAAAGAUGUUUUGGCUUUCAUUUUAUAUGAGACAGAGAAAGAGAUCCAUUUAGAAACAUAAUGAAUAUUGUAACUACUAAAAUUCCAACUUCAUAUCUCCUUUCUCAAGGAAGCAGCCUUGUCCCCUAGAGAUCUCAGCCAAACCAACUUCUCUGGCUUAUUAAUUAUAUCAAAGUUUCCUGCCUUUUCCCCCUUAGUGUUCCCUCCUUUUCCAACAAGGAGUAAUCAAACGUCAUAAAAAUUCCAUAGAAAAUGGAAUUCUUCAGUUUUGAGUAACUUCCAGGCUAACUAGUCAUUAGAAAGCUAACUUAGAAGAGAUUUACUGACGAAUUACAGAUGAUGAAUAAACCCAAAACUCCAGGACCCUGAGCUAUGAAAAGGUAGUUCUGUAACUCGGUAAAAGCAAAUUGAAGUUUUUCCACUCUUGUAAACGUCCUCUUAUAUCAACUUUCCUCAUUUCUACCAAUCAAUCAAGCAACUGCAAUUUCCAUGGCUCGAGAAAUUAGACGACCAAAUUUCAAGACCUAGCUCAAAUUAGCUAAAACGAAACUAAAGCUAUCCCCACUCCGACCCUCAUUCUUUUCCAUCAUUUCCUCGGCAAUCAAUCAAGCAACUUCAAUUUUUUUGGCUCAAGAACUCAUACAAAACAGCAACGAAACAUAA